Molecule: ribosomal RNA, 2812 nt
Filed under: Morganella morganii
Lineage: Bacteria; Pseudomonadati; Pseudomonadota; Gammaproteobacteria; Enterobacterales; Morganellaceae
Description: bacterial LSU rRNA
Rfam family: Bacterial large subunit ribosomal RNA
Source: RNAcentral
AGCGUACACGGUGGAUGCCUAGGCAGUCAGAGGCGAUGAAGGACGUGCUAAUCUGCGAUAAGCGCCGGUAAGGUGAUAUGAACCGUUAUAACCGGCGAUUUCCGAAUGGGGAAACCCAGUGCAAUUCGUUGCACUAUCAUUACCUGAAUACAUAGGGUAAUGAAGCGAACCGGGAGAACUGAAACAUCUAAGUACCCCGAGGAAAAGAAAUCAAACGAGAUUCCCCCAGUAGCGGCGAGCGAACGGGGAGCAGCCCAGGACCUUAAUCAGCAUCAGUGUUAAGAGAACAGUCUGGAAAGGCUGGCCACAGCAGGUGAUAGCCCUGUAUCUGAAAGCACUGGUGUUGUGAGUCCGAUGAGUAAGGCGGGACACGUGUUAUCCUGUCUGAAUACGGGGGGACCAUCCUCCAAGGCUAAAUACUCCUGACUGACCGAUAGUGAACCAGUACCGUGAGGGAAAGGCGAAAAGAACCCCGGCGAGGGGAGUGAAAAAGAACCUGAAACCGUGUACGUACAAGCAGUGGGAGCACCUUUAUGGUGUGACUGCGUACCUUUUGUAUAAUGGGUCAGCGACUUAUAUUCUGUAGCAAGGUUAACCGAAUAGGGGAGCCGCAGGGAAACCGAGUCUUAACUGGGCGAAUUAGUUGCAGGGUAUAGACCCGAAACCCGGUGAUCUAGCCAUGGGCAGGUUGAAGGUUGGGUAACACUAACUGGAGGACCGAACCGACUAAUGUUGAAAAAUUAGCGGAUGACUUGUGGCUGGGGGUGAAAGGCCAAUCAAACCGGGAGAUAGCUGGUUCUCCCCGAAAGCUAUUUAGGUAGCGCCUCGUGAAUUCAUCUCCGGGGGUAGAGCACUGUUUCGGCUAGGGGGUCAUCCCGACUUACCAACCCGAUGCAAACUGCGAAUACCGGAGAAUGUUAUCACGGGAGACACACGGCGGGUGCUAACGUUCGUCGUGAAGAGGGAAACAACCCAGACCGCCGGCUAAGGUCCCAAAGUCAUAAUUAAGUGGGAAACGAAGUGGGAAGGCUCAGACAGCCAGGAUGUUGGCUUAGAAGCAGCCAUCAUUUAAAGAAAGCGUAAUAGCUCACUGGUCGAGUCGGCCUGCGCGGAAGAUGUAACGGGGCUAAAUUAUGCACCGAAGCCGCGGCAGCGAUAUGUAAAUAUUGUUGGGUAGGGGAGCGUUCUGUAAGCCUGUGAAGGUGACCUGUGAGGGUUGCUGGAGGUAUCAGAAGUGCGAAUGCUGACAUAAGUAACGAUAAUGCGGGUGAAAAACCCGCACGCCGGAAGACCAAGGGUUCCUGUCCAACGUUAAUCGGGGCAGGGUGAGUCGACCCCUAAGGCGAGGCUGAAAAGCGUAGUCGAUGGGCAACGGGUUAAUAUUCCCGUACUGGUGGUAACUGCGAAGGGGGGACGGAGAAAGCUAAAUCAUCCGGGCGACGGUUGUCCCGGUUUAAGCGUGCAGGUGGACUGACCAGGCAAAUCCGGUCGGUUGUUAACACUGAGGCGUGACGACGAGCCACCACGGUGGUGAAGUGAUUGAUGCUCUGCUUCCGGGAAAAGCCUCUAAGCUCCAGGUUACCAUUAAUCGUACCCCAAACCGACACAGGUGGUCAGGUAGAGAAUACUCAGGCGCUUGAGAGAACUCGGGUGAAGGAACUAGGCAAAAUGGUGCCGUAACUUCGGGAGAAGGCACGCUGGCAUUAGGUGAAGUGGUUUACCCACGGAGCUGAAGCCAGCCGCAGAUACCAGCUGGCUGCAACUGUUUAUUAAAAACACAGCACUGUGCAAACACGAAAGUGGACGUAUACGGUGUGACGCCUGCCCGGUGCCGGAAGGUUAAUUGAUGAGGUCAGCCGCAAGGCGAAGCUUCUGAUCGAAGCCCCGGUAAACGGCGGCCGUAACUAUAACGGUCCUAAGGUAGCGAAAUUCCUUGUCGGGUAAGUUCCGACCUGCACGAAUGGCGUAAUGAUGGCCAGGCUGUCUCCACCCGAGACUCAGUGAAAUUGAACUCGCUGUGAAGAUGCAGUGUACCCGCGGCAAGACGGAAAGACCCCGUGAACCUUUACUAUAGCUUGACACUGAACAUUGAGCCUUGAUGUGUAGGAUAGGUGGGAGGCAACGAAGUGUGGACGCCAGUCUGCACGGAGCCAUCCUUGAAAUACCACCCUUUAACGUUUGAUGUUCUAACCCGGGUCCAUAAUCUGGAUCGGGGACCGUGUCUGGUGGGUAGUUUGACUGGGGCGGUCUCCUCCCAAAGAGUAACGGAGGAGCACGAAGGUUGGCUAAGCAUGGUCGGACAUCAUGCGGUUAGUGCAAAGGCAUAAGCCAGCUUGACUGCGAGAGUGACGGCUCGAGCAGGUACGAAAGUAGGUCUUAGUGAUCCGGUGGUUCUGAAUGGAAGGGCCAUCGCUCAACGGAUAAAAGGUACUCCGGGGAUAACAGGCUGAUACCGCCCAAGAGUUCAUAUCGACGGCGGUGUUUGGCACCUCGAUGUCGGCUCAUCACAUCCUGGGGCUGAAGUAGGUCCCAAGGGUAUGGCUGUUCGCCAUUUAAAGUGGUACGCGAGCUGGGUUUAGAACGUCGUGAGACAGUUCGGUCCCUAUCUGCCGUGGGCGCUGGAAGAUUGAGAGGGGUUGCUCCUAGUACGAGAGGACCGGAGUGAACGCACCACUGGUGUACGGGUUGUGAUGCCAAUUGCAUUGCCCGGUAGCUAAGUGCGGAAGAGAUAACCGCUGAAAGCAUCUAAGCGGGAAACUUGCCUCGAGAUGAGUCUUCCCUGACCCUUUAAGGGUCCUGAAGGAACGUUUGA